This is a long non-coding RNA of Girardinichthys multiradiatus, 1858 nucleotides long. RefSeq lists it as uncharacterized. The record is from RefSeq and is a predicted model, not a curated record. Lineage: Eukaryota; Metazoa; Chordata; Actinopteri; Cyprinodontiformes; Goodeidae. The transcript has 2 exons.
AUGAAAGUCCUGUGGUUAUACCAUCUUGCUUGGGCCAAAGGUCAUCUGUAUAUGAAUAUCCGUGUUAAUCUGAUCAGCUGUUUGUAAAUAUAAGACAAACACCAAGUUAGCAUCCACCUGUUUUCUAGACAAUUUCUGUUCAUCUGGAGAAGUCUGAACAGAUACUUACUUUGUGUGGGAGUAAAAGGAAUUUGUUUGGCUGAAGAAAUCACAGUUUUAUAUCCUAAUUUUAAGAACUAUACUAUAAUCACUUUGUAUUCCAUUAGAAGUUCAAAAUGCAAAUGGUAACUAUGGAAUAUUGAGUGUUUUGUUUUGAAAAUAUCAGUAAGCUUUAUUUUGAAAGGAUUAAAGCGGCCCAUUUCCAUCACUGGUUGAGUUCCAGCAGUAGUGUAAAUCUUAAUUCUGCAAUAUGGCUUUUAUUUUGUAGAGUAUGUUGAUGUCUUAUUUUGAAAAUCCAGCAUAGUUGUCCUCUCAGGCUUGGGUUAGUUCCAUUAAUAAUAUGGAACCUUGUCUUUUAUUUAGCAAAUUUCAGCGACGCUUAUCGGCUCUAUUUAUAGUCAUUUUGCAAUAUGCAAGAUGUUGUUACAGGUUACAUAUAGAGAUGCACCAGUCAAUUGGCCAGAGAUGAGCUCAGACUAUGCCCUGCAUGGAGUCCAAAGAAACCACAAACUGAAAACAGCCGGACCGGUUUGAAAGAAAACGAGAAAUCAGUAUUGGCCAGAAAAAGCGGGAUCGGUUUAUCUUAAGUUACAUUUAAACCUUGAUACAGCUUACAAGGUUUCAAUGAAACAACGCUAUCAGAAAGUCAUAUAGUUAGUUUUUUUAAUGCCUUCCACCAUAAUUCCUAUCAUUCCUUACAGAAAAUUUUGAUGGACAUGAACAUUUUCAUAGCCAAGUGUACUGCAGAAUCCAUAGCACAUGAUCAACCAUAAUAGACAAUGCUAUUUUGAAAGGUACAAUUCAACAGAAAAAUAUCAUUUUGAAACAACAAAAUAUUUUAAAUCUGCAUUGUUAUUACAACAAACUGACCACUUGUAAUUAUUUGUAAAAUUUGUGCAUUUUACAACAGUACAGAUGUUUGUUUUGGAUUCAUAGACAAAGAAUUGUUUAAAUUGACUUAAAUGGACUGAACUUGUAUGGCGCCUUUCCAAUCAUACUGACCACUCAAAGCACGGUUACACUAGAGCCACAUUCACCCAGACCCACACACACCCAUACCAAUAAAGUGGGCAAUCUGAGGUGGCAGGAGGAAGCGCAUUGCAAGUCAACCACUCUUCUCGCUGAGCCACAGUCACCUCUCGUAUUAAAUAGAAGUUCAAUAGCUGGCUUUAUCAAAGGAUGUUCCUUCCAUGACCUUACUGUACAGUACUGCUUGUGGUAAUAUCUUGGUUCUUUUGAGAAAUCCAGUGUAUUAUAUCUGUUUCUUCAAGAUCUGAUGUUUGGCAGCUGAAAUAGUUAAUUUCACACUGUGCAAAUAUACAUCAAAACUACCAUUUGAACAAGUGUAACCAGUUGUUGUUUAAAUACUAAUAGUAGACAGGUCAGGAAACCAGUAUGGAAAACAUGUAUCUCACAUUUAAAGUAAAAAUAAAAAACAUAAAAACAACAAUAUAAACCUCUAUUUUAUGCAACACAGCGGAUAAUGUAAGGUGCCAAUGUGUUACCAUCCUAGGGGACAUUUAUAACUAUGAAAGAGUCAGGUAUAUUUAUUCCUUCAUACCCCUUUAAGAGGCUCAGUUAGGUUCUUCUGCAGGUGAUGGUUCACACCAACAAAACAUGCUCCGUGAAAACGUGGCACCAACACAGCAGACCAAGAAUCAUCUGUGUAUUCAUCAUCAGGAGUUAAAAACGAAAAUCA